CCUACGGGUGGCAGCAGUGAGGAAUAUUGGUCAAUGGGCGGGAGCCUGAACCAGCCAAGCCGCGUGAGGGACGAAGGUACAGCGUAUUGUAAACCUCUUUUGUCAGGGAACAAAGGCGGGGACGAGUGCCCGGACGAGGGUACCUGAAGAAAAAGCAUCGGCUAACUCCGUGCCAGCAGCCGCGGUAAUACGGAGGAUGCGAGCGUUAUCCGGUUUUAUUGGGUUUAAAGGGGGCGUAGGCGGGCUGUUAAGGCAGCGGUAAAAGCCCGGGGCUCAACCCCGGCGAGCCGUUGAAACUGGCGGGCUUGAGUUGGAGAGAGGUACGCGGAAUGCGCGGUGUAGCGGUGAAAUGCUUAGAUAUCGCGCAGAACCCCGAUUGCGAAGGCAGCAUACCGGCUCCCCACUGACGCUGAGGCACGAAAGCGUGGGUAUCGAACAGGAUUAGAUACCCGGGUAGUC
Molecule: ribosomal RNA, 459 nt
Filed under: uncultured bacterium
Lineage: Bacteria
Description: partial 16S ribosomal RNA
Rfam family: Bacterial small subunit ribosomal RNA
Source: RNAcentral